Molecule: non-coding RNA, 66 nt
Organism: Podarcis lilfordi (Lilford's wall lizard)
Lineage: Eukaryota; Metazoa; Chordata; Lepidosauria; Squamata; Lacertidae
Source: the annotation of a GenBank genome assembly
GCAGCUCAGUAGGAGAGCAUUUGCUCAGCAUGUAAAUAGCCCUUGGUUCCAUCCCCAGCAUCUCCA